Molecule: ribosomal RNA, 446 nt
Filed under: uncultured bacterium
Lineage: Bacteria
Description: bacterial SSU rRNA
Rfam family: Bacterial small subunit ribosomal RNA
Source: RNAcentral
GCCAGACUCCUACGGGAGGCAGCAGUGGGGAAUAUUGCACAAUGGGGGAAACCCUGAUGCAGCGACGCCGCGUGGGCGAGGAAGUACCUCGGUAUGUAAAGCCCUAUCAGCAGGGAAGAAACAGGACAGUACCUGACUAAGAAGCCCCGGCUAACUACGUGCCAGCAGCCGCGGUAAUACGUAGGGGGCAAGCGUUGUCCGGAAUUACUGGGUGUAAAGGGAGCGCAGGCGGGAAGCCAAGUCAGCUGUGAAAACUACGGGCUUAACUUGUAGACUGCAGUUGAAACUGGUUUUCUUGAGUGAAGUAGAGGUUGGCGGAAUUCCGAGUGUAGCGGUGAAAUGCGUAGAUAUUCGGAGGAACACCGGUGGCGAAGGCGGCCAACUGGGCUUUAACUGACGCUGAGGCUCGAAAGUGUGGGGAGCAAACAGGAUUAGAUACCCUCGUA